Molecule: small nuclear RNA, 107 nt
Organism: Meriones unguiculatus (Mongolian gerbil)
Lineage: Eukaryota; Metazoa; Chordata; Mammalia; Rodentia; Muridae
Source: Ensembl
GUGUUCGCUUUGGCAGCACAUAUACCAAAAUUGGUCUGAUACAGAGUAGAUUAGCAUGGCCCUUGCCCAGAGUUCUUAGCUCAAUUUUUGAAGUUCUGGGGAUUGAA